This 253-nucleotide ribosomal RNA is filed under the name uncultured bacterium. RNAcentral's name for it is "partial 16S ribosomal RNA". It matches the Rfam family "Bacterial small subunit ribosomal RNA", at positions 524 to 776 of the family's 1533-position model. The record is from RNAcentral.
UACGGAGGGUGCGAGCGUUGUUCGGAAUCACUGGGCGUAAAGCGCGUGUAGGCGGUCCGUUAUGUCUGGUGUGAAAGCCCGGGGCUCACCCCCGGAAGGGCACUGGAAACUGACGGACUGGAGUCCCGGAGAGGAGGGUGGAAUUCCUGGUGUAGCGGUGAAAUGCGUAGAUAGCAGAAGGAACAUCAGUGGCGAAAGCGGCUUCCUGGUCCAGUACCGACGUUCAGGCACGAAAGCGUGGGGAGCAAACAGG